UUACCGCGGCUGCUGGCACGUAGUUAGCCGUCCCUUAUUCUUGGUGUACCGUCAUUCGUCUUCCACCAAAAAAGGAGUUUACACACCGUAAUGCGUCAUCCUCCACGCGGAAUCGCUGCAUCAGACUUUCGUCCAUUGUGCAAGAUUCCCCACUGCUGCCUCCCGUAGGAGUAUGGACCGUAUCUCAGUUCCAUCGCGGCCGGACAUCAUCUCAGACCGGCUACCCGUCAUAGACUUGGUAAGCCAUUACCUCACCAACAAUCUGAUAGGACGCACCCCUCUCCUCAAGUGAUAAAUCUUUCCCCCACAUAUUUUCAUUUUGUGGGGCGUAUUGGGAAUUAGCUAUAUCUCUAUAGUUGUUCCCAUCUUGAGGGCAAGUUAAGUACGCGUUACUCGCUCGUUUGCCACUAUUCAUAUUUUGGAGCAAGCUCCAAAACAGAAUCGUUCGACUUGCAUGUGUUAGGCGUUCCGCUAGCGUUCAUCCUGAGCCAUGAUCAAACUC
This 502-nucleotide ribosomal RNA is filed under the name uncultured Microgenomates group bacterium. RNAcentral's name for it is "partial 16S ribosomal RNA". The record is from RNAcentral.